Molecule: ribosomal RNA, 864 nt
Filed under: uncultured bacterium
Lineage: Bacteria
Description: bacterial SSU rRNA
Rfam family: Bacterial small subunit ribosomal RNA
Source: RNAcentral
ACACAUGCAAGUCGAGGGGCAGCAUGAACUUAGCUUGCUAAGUUUGAUGGCGACCGGCGCACGGGUGAGUAACACGUAUCCAACCUGCCGAUGACUCGGGGAUAGCCUUUCGAAAGAAAGAUUAAUACCCGAUGGCAUAGUUCUUCCGCAUGGUAGAACUAUUAAAGAAUUUCGGUCAUCGAUGGGGAUGCGUUCCAUUAGGUUGUUGGCGGGGUAACGGCCCACCAAGCCUUCGAUGGAUAGGGGUUCUGAGAGGAAGGUCCCCCACAUUGGAACUGAGACACGGUCCAAACUCCUACGGGAGGCAGCAGUGAGGAAUAUUGGUCAAUGGACGAGAGUCUGAACCAGCCAAGUAGCGUGAAGGAUGACUGCCCUAUGGGUUGUAAACUUCUUUUAUACGGGAAUAAAGUGAGGCACGUGUGCCUUUUUGUAUGUACCGUAUGAAUAAGGAUCGGCUAACUCCGUGCCAGCAGCCGCGGUAAUACGGAGGAUCCGAGCGUUAUCCGGAUUUAUUGGGUUUAAAGGGAGCGUAGGCGGACGCUUAAGUCAGUUGUGAAAGUUUGCGGCUCAACCGUAAAAUUGCAGUUGAUACUGGGUGUCUUGAGUACAGUAGAGGCAGGCGGAAUUCGUGGUGUAGCGGUGAAAUGCUUAGAUAUCACGAAGAACUCCGAUUGCGAAGGCAGCCUGCUGGACUGUAACUGACGCUGAUGCUCGAAAGUGUGGGUAUCAAACAGGAUUAGAUACCCUGGUAGUCCACACAGUAAACGAUGAAUACUCGCUGUUUGCGAUAUACAGUAAGCGGCCAAGCGAAAGCGUUAAGUAUUCCACCUGGGGAGUACGCCGGCAACGGUGAAACUCAAAGGA